This 472-nucleotide ribosomal RNA is filed under the name uncultured bacterium. Its description in RNAcentral is "bacterial SSU rRNA". It matches the Rfam family "Bacterial small subunit ribosomal RNA", at positions 355 to 825 of the family's 1533-position model. The record is from RNAcentral.
UGGGGAAUAUUGGACAAUGGGGGCAACCCUGAUCCAGCGAUGCCGCGUGUGUGAAGAAGGCCUGCGGGUUGUAAAGCACUUUAGUUGGGGAGGAAAGGUAUGUACUGCAUAAGUGCAUGCUGUGACGUUACCCAAAGAAUAAGCACCGGCAAACUCUGUGCCAGCAGCCGCGGUAAUACAGAGGGUGCAAGCGUUAAUCGGACUUACUGGGCGUAAAGGGCGCGUAGGCGGCAAUUCAAGUCAUCUGUGAAAUCUCCGGGCUUAACUCGGAACGGUCAGAUGAUACUGCUUUGCUAGAGUGCAGAAGGGGCAAUCGGAAUUCUUGGUGUAGCGGUGAAAUGCGUAGAUAUCAAGAGGAACACCUGAGGUGAAGACGGGUUGCUGGGCUGACACUGACGCUGAGGCGCGAAAGCCAGGGGAGCAAACGGGAUUAGAUACCCCGGUAGUCCCUGAGCGGGCUGGCAAGGCGCAU